ACCCGCUGAAUUUAAGCAUAUCAAUAAGCGGAGGAAAAGAAACCAACAGGGAUUGCCUUAGUAACGGCGAGUGAAGCGGCAAAAGCUCAAAUUUGAAAUCGGCCACCAGGUCGAGUUGUAAUUUGUAGAUUGUAUCUUGAGAGCGGAUUAAAGUCUGUUGGAACACAGCGCCUUAGAGGGUGACAGCCCCGUAAAAUCUAUUCUCAUUGUAAGAUACUUUCGAAGAGUCGAGUUGUUUGGGAAUGCAGCUCUAAGUGGGAGGUAAAUUCCUUCUAAAGCUAAAUAUUGACGAGAGACCGAUAGCGAACAAGUACUGUGAAGGAAAGAUGAAAAGCACUUUGAAAAGAGAGUGAAAAAGUACGUGAAAUUGUUAAAAGGGAAGGGUAUUGAAUCAGACUUGGUGCUGUUGUUCAACUGUGUUUCGGCAUAGUGUACUCAGCAGUACUAGGCCAAGGUGGGGUGUUUGGGAGUGAAAAAGAAGUUGGAACGUAACUCUUCGGAGUGUUAUAGCCUACUUUCAUAGCUCCUCAGGCGCCUCAGGACUGCGCUUCGGCAAGGACCUUGGCAUAAUGAUUCUAUACCGCCCGUCUUGAAACACGGACACAGGAG
This 609-nucleotide ribosomal RNA is filed under the name uncultured fungus. RNAcentral's name for it is "eukaryotic LSU rRNA". It matches the Rfam family "Eukaryotic large subunit ribosomal RNA", at positions 23 to 673 of the family's 3401-position model. The record is from RNAcentral. Lineage: Eukaryota; Fungi.